CUUUUACAAUGAAGAGUUUGAUCCUGGCUCAGGAUGAACGCUAGCUACAGGCUUAACACAUGCAAGUCGAGGGGCAGCAUGAACUUAGCUUGCUAAGUUUGAUGGCGACCGGCGCACGGGUGAGUAACACGUAUCCAACCUGCCGAUGACUCGGGGAUAGCCUUUCGAAAGAAAGAUUAAUACCCGAUGGCAUAGUUCUUCCGCAUGGUGGAACUAUUAAAGAAUUUCGGUCAUCGAUGGGGAUGCGUUCCAUUAGGUUGUUGGCGGGGUAACGGCCCACCAAGCCUUCGAUGGAUAGGGGUUCUGAGAGGAAGGUCCCCCACAUUGGAACUGAGACACGGUCCAAACUCCUACGGGAGGCAGCAGUGAGGAAUAUUGGUCAAUGGACGAGAGUCUGAACCAGCCAAGUAGCGUGAAGGAUGACUGCCCUAUGGGUUGUAAACUUCUUUUAUACGGGAAUAAAGUGAGGCACGCGUGCCUUUUUGUAUGUACCGUAUGAAUAAGGAUCGGCUAACUCCGUGCCAGCAGCCGCGGUAAUACGGAGGAUCC
RNAcentral lists this ribosomal RNA (549 nucleotides) under Parabacteroides distasonis. RNAcentral's name for it is "bacterial SSU rRNA". It matches the Rfam family "Bacterial small subunit ribosomal RNA", at positions 1 to 535 of the family's 1533-position model. Lineage: Bacteria; Pseudomonadati; Bacteroidota; Bacteroidia; Bacteroidales; Tannerellaceae. The record is from RNAcentral.